Molecule: transfer RNA, 72 nt
Filed under: Ixodes scapularis (black-legged tick)
Lineage: Eukaryota; Metazoa; Arthropoda; Arachnida; Ixodida; Ixodidae
Rfam family: tRNA
About the family: Transfer RNA (tRNA) molecules are approximately 80 nucleotides in length. Their secondary structure includes four short double-helical elements and three loops (D, anti-codon, and T loops).
Source: Rfam by way of RNAcentral
UCCUCGUUAGCCCUGUGGUAGAGCGCUUCACUGGCAAUGGAGAGGUCCCUAGUUCGAUACCAGGACCAGGCG